This 351-nucleotide long non-coding RNA is filed under the name Physcomitrium patens. RNAcentral describes it as "long non-coding RNA (PPAT_LNC001112)". The record is from RNAcentral. Lineage: Eukaryota; Viridiplantae; Streptophyta; Bryopsida; Funariales; Funariaceae.
ACAUAAUUGGAACAAAGCAAAUAUGUGAACUUCCCUGAUUUCUACUUCGCUCCUAUCUCCGCAUGAAUACCAAUGGCUACGUAAGCUGCCCAAUUGAAUACCAUCCCUUCAAGCAUCUCUACUGCUGCAUAUAAUAAUCAUUUGGAUAUAUAUGUGAGAUGUCGGUACAAUCCUAAUUGCCUCACUACAAAACAGAAUUAUUCCACAAGUUCUGAUGAAAUUGCCUCAACAGUCCACCAACCUUAGCUCUUUUCAAAGGCCAACAUACCUCCCUUGAAAUAUCUUCUUGGACUGAAGUCGCUUGAGUCAUCAACCCCUAUUGCAAUCUCUCCAAUAGGAAGAAAUAACACC